This 560-nucleotide ribosomal RNA is filed under the name uncultured Acidobacteriota bacterium. RNAcentral describes it as "bacterial SSU rRNA". It matches the Rfam family "Bacterial small subunit ribosomal RNA", at positions 469 to 1025 of the family's 1533-position model. The record is from RNAcentral. Lineage: Bacteria; Pseudomonadati; Acidobacteriota.
AUGACGGGUACCGGAAGAAGAAGCCCCGGCUAACUUCGUGCCAGCAGCCGCGGUAAUACGAGGGGGGCGAGCGUUGUUCGGAAUUAUUGGGCGUAAAGGGCGCGUAGGCGGUCGGAUAAGUCUUGUGUGAAAUCUUCGGGCUCAACUCGAAGUCUGCACAGGAAACUAUCUGGCUUGAGUGUGGGAGAGGUGAGUGGAAUUCCAGGUGUAGCGGUGAAAUGCGUAGAUAUCAGGAGGGACACCUGUGGCGAAAGCGGCUCACUGGACCACAACUGACGCUGAGGCGCGAAAGCUAGGGGAGCAAACAGGAUUAGAUACCCUGGUAGUCCUAGCCCUAAACGAUGAUCGCUUGGUGUGACGGGUACCCAAUCCCGCCGUGCCGAAGCUAACGCGUUAAGCGAUCCGCCUGGGGAGUACGGUCGCAAGGCUGAAACUCGAAGGAAUUGACGGGGGCCCGCACAAGCGGUGGAGCAUGUGGUUUAAUUCGACGCAACGCGAAGAACCUUACCUGGGCUCGAAAUGUAGUGGAAUCCGGUGGAAACAUCGGCGCCCAGCAAUGG